GAGUUGAUAGCUCAGUUGGUAGAGCAAGGGACUUUUAAUCCCAAGGUCGAGGGUUCGAGCCCCUCUCAACUCACCA
This 76-nucleotide transfer RNA is filed under the name Pseudomonas putida. Its description in RNAcentral is "tRNA-Lys". It matches the Rfam family "tRNA". From Rfam's summary of the family: Transfer RNA (tRNA) molecules are approximately 80 nucleotides in length. Their secondary structure includes four short double-helical elements and three loops (D, anti-codon, and T loops). Further hydrogen bonds mediate the characteristic L-shaped molecular structure. tRNAs have two regions of fundamental functional importance: the anti-codon, which is responsible for specific mRNA codon recognition, and the 3' end, to which the tRNAs corresponding amino acid is attached (by aminoacyl-tRNA synthetases). tRNAs cope with the degeneracy of the genetic code in two manners: having more than one tRNA (with a specific anti-codon) for a particular amino acid; and 'wobble' base-pairing, i.e. permitting non-standard base-pairing at the 3rd anti-codon position. Lineage: Bacteria; Pseudomonadati; Pseudomonadota; Gammaproteobacteria; Pseudomonadales; Pseudomonadaceae. The record is from RNAcentral.